Molecule: long non-coding RNA, 3068 nt
Organism: Oncorhynchus keta (chum salmon)
Lineage: Eukaryota; Metazoa; Chordata; Actinopteri; Salmoniformes; Salmonidae
Exons: 3
Source: RefSeq, a predicted model, not a curated record
UAAAUUGGCCCGUCCAAGGUAAAUAGGCCCGUCCAAGGUAAAUAGGCCCAUCCAAGGUAAAUAGGCCCGUCCAAGGUAAAUAGGCCCGUCCAAGGUAAAUAGGCCCGUCCAAGGUAAAUAGGCCCGUCCAAGGUAAAUAGGCCCGUCCAAGGUAAAUAGGCCCGUCCAAGGUAAAUAGGUCCGUCCAAGGUAAAUAGGCCCGUCCAAGGUAAAUAGGCCCGUCCAAGGUAAAUAGGCCCGUCCAAGGUAAAUAGGCCCGUCCAAGAUAAAUAGGUCCGUCCAAGGUAAAUAGGCCCGUCCAAGGUAAAUAGGCCCAUCCAAGGUAAAUAGGUCCGUCCAAGGUAAAUAGGCCCGUCCAAGGUAAAUAGGCCCAUCCAAGGUAAAUAGUUCCGUCCAAGGUAAAUAGGUCCGUCCAAGGUAAAUAGGCCCGUCCAAGGUAAAUAGGCCCGUCCAAGGUAAAUAGGCCCGUCCAAGGUAAAUAGGUCCGUCCAAGGUAAAUAGGCCCGUCCAAGGUAAAUAGGCCCGUCCAAGGUAAAUAGGCCCGUCCAAGGUAAAUAGGCCCGUCCAAGGUAAAUAGGUCCGUCCAAGGUAAAUAGGCCCAUCCAAGGUAAAUAGGCCCGUCCAAGGUAAAUAGGCCCAUCCAAGGUAAAUAGGCCCGUCCAAGGUAAAUAGGCCCAUCCAAGGUAAAUAGGCCCAUCCAAGGUAAAUAGGCCCAUCCAAGGUAAAUAGGCCCGUCCAAGGUAAAUAGGCCCAUCCAAGGUAAAUAGGUCCGUCCAAUGCAGCAGAAACGUAUGCUGCUCGAAUGCAAAGUGAGAGCACCUCUGUACACGGCGGUGCUUAAAUGUAAUAACUAAUUGACUUAUACAGACAAUGGCGUGACGUGAUCCUCAUUGGAAAUGCGACAUUUUGUCAAUGUGUGUAUGUAAUUGCGUAAUUACAAGGGCUUGUCAGAGUUAAAUCGGUUAACCCCAAGUUUUUUUUUAAUAACUUUUUGCCAUUUCAGUGCACUAUUUUCUUUAUCACGGUUAAUUGCAUUGUCUGUAAGCGUUCAGAAUACACUGAACACAUCCAAAAUACAUGAUCUAUACAGCGAAACACAACAAUGCGAUGUCCAAACAAGUUGACUCUAAGGUUAAAGAACGUGUGUUUAUCAAUUCAACUGAUUUUGCUUACUGUUACUUUGGACAAAAUCAAGAUGUCAAUCAAUAUUCUUGUAAUGAUUUCUGAAGAAAUUCUGAAUUUGCAAAUAAUUGCACCAAAUCCUGCAUUAACUUGUUUAAAAAAAAUAAAAUUGGUUAACGACCUUAAUAAUGACACAAUGCACACACAUAUAAUUUUUUUAAAUGAAUGACUGUACUGAGUGCAAUGACCAUCAAAGACUAUUUGAUCCGGUAAAACGUACAGUAUAUUCUUAUCCCCUUUUGUUAAUAUAUUGUGUGUAUAAUUUUUAUACAUUUGGGGGAAUUAAAUAGGUCAAUGCUGUUUCGCAGAAUUUUGAGAUAUAAAUUAGGUGUGUGUGUGUGUCUGUGUGUGCUGGUGUGUGUGUCAUUCAUUUAAUUGUAUUUAUUUAACCAGGAUAGUCCACUCAGUAACACUUGCCACUGUUUUCCAGGGAGUCCUAGGUUCCAUAGAGUCAUCGUGUGUGUGUGUGUGUGUGUGUGUGUGUGUGUGUGUGUGUGUGUGUGUGUGUGUGUGUGUGUGUGUGUGUGUGUGUGUGUGUGUGUGUGUGUGUGUGUGUGUGCGUGCGUGCGUGCGUGCGUGAGUGCGUGCGUGUGUGUGUGUACGUGCGUGGGUGUGUGCGCGCGUGUGUGUGUGAUAAUACUUUAUUCAUGGUUAUUACAGUAAUAAAUAUCUUUGAUUAUUACAGUGUGUUAGCAGUUUAGAGACUUAGUUCUACUAUAUUAGAUCUCAUGAGGACUGGAAUGAAACUAAUCUGGACAGAGUUUCUCUUCUGAAUAGUUAGAACGAGUGUGAUCAGCCCAAUUCACAUCGCACGGUAAAUUCCAGACAAAUAUAAUGUUCAUACUUAAUAAUCAUCACAAUUCAUCUUGUCUAUCAUCAAAUGUGUAUAUUUCUCUGUUUAAAAAAGAUUUCUAGCAGUAACUCAGGGCUUGGAAGAGAGCCUACUGCAUAUUGGCUCGCACAUUUCAGCCAGUUGCCUAUAGUCUGUAAUUCAUACUCAAUUUAGUUGUCAGCAUAAAACCAUUCAUUCUCAGUUCAUUCAAUAGAUUUUAGUGGAGGAAUGAGAUAAGCAUCUUGUUUGGCAUUGCAAGCGUAGUGUAAUGUGUACAUCGAUACUUCAUGUAAUGAAUAGGCCUACUGUACAAUUGUGAUCCAUAUGUCAUACGACGAAGGGAAACAUAAUUCAUUUCAGCACAUCACUUUUUGAUGAUUGAGAAAUAUGUAUUAUCGGAAAAGUAGGUUUGUCGUGAACAAAUUGGAUUGAUGAUCCAUGGUUGACGGAAAGAAAGAAAAGUGAAAAUAGAUUUAACCCUGUUCUUACAAUAGGCCUACAUUUUCUCUACAGUAACUAGGUUUCAGCAUAUGAUGUGUAUUUUUACCCAAAUGGUCUUUUGAGGCUCUGUGUGGUUUGACUCAUGUGGCACAAUGUUCUAUGUCCUCUUACCACCACUCAUACUGAAAAUGAAUUACCCACCAGCACCACAUAACCAUGAACAACCGGUGCUUUGUUUCAUUUGUUAAAUGGAGAAAUUGUCAUGUAGAAUAAUUCGAUUUAUAUUCAUUAGAGAUGUAGUAUUAUUGUGAUUUGCGUCCAAUAUUUUUCUGCUCUGAUCUCACAGAUCUGAGGAUGGUGGCACAUCAUCACAACCAAAAUGCCCACCGGAAAUUCAAUUUCUCCAGUUAGGAAACUAGAAAUGAUUUAACUGGUUCGGCCAGCCGUUAUUCCUGAUGACAUUUAGUGUACGGUGUGUUUUUUAAAAUCAUGUUUUCCUGCAUCUGGUUGAUCAGCGGAUCGGUAGGCCUAAAUACAGGUCAGGCUUGUGUCAUUUUCAAUCUAGCCUUGAAUUAUUUCUAUGAUAUUAUCUUAUGUAAUCCACUGUAUCUAU